AAUCUUCCCCUACCCUCUCCUCUGCUUGCCCGGCCUCCCCCUUCUGACUCUUCUCUCCCCUCCUUGUAUCCCCCAUCUUGCCUCCCUGCUUCCCACAUCCGACCACCCAACCUCUCUCCUCAGACGUGGACGAAUGUCGCGAGCGAGGCCCAGCCCUGUGCGGGUCGCAGCGCUGUGAGAACUCUCCCGGGUCCUACCGCUGUGUGCGGGACUGCGAUCCUGGGUACCACGCGGGCCCCGAGGGCACUUGUGACGAUGUGGAUGAGUGCCAAGAAUAUGGUCCCGAGAUUUGUGGAGCUCAGCGUUGUGAGAACACCCCUGGCUCCUACCGCUGCACACCGGCCUGUGACCCUGGCUAUCAGCCCACGCCAGGGGGCGGAUGCCAGGAUGUGAAUGAGUGUGAAACACUACAGGGUGUAUGUGGAGCUGCCCUGUGUGAAAAUGUAGAAGGCUCCUUCCUCUGUGUCUGCCCCAACAGCCCGGAGGAGUUUGACCCCAUGACUGGACGCUGUGUUCCCCCACGAACUUCUGCUGACGUGGACGAAUGUCAGCUCUUCCGAGACCAGGUGUGCAAGA
Molecule: small RNA, 576 nt
Filed under: Pongo abelii (Sumatran orangutan)
Lineage: Eukaryota; Metazoa; Chordata; Mammalia; Primates; Hominidae
Description: retained intron
Source: RNAcentral